This 495-nucleotide ribosomal RNA is filed under the name uncultured bacterium. RNAcentral describes it as "partial 16S ribosomal RNA". It matches the Rfam family "Bacterial small subunit ribosomal RNA", at positions 28 to 507 of the family's 1533-position model. The record is from RNAcentral.
GACGAACGCUGGCGGCGUGCCUAAUACAUGCAAGUAGAACGCUGAAGGAGGAGCUUGCUCUUCUGGAUGAGUUGCGAACGGGUGAGUAACGCGUAGGUAACCUGCCUGGUAGCGGGGGAUAACUAUUGGAAACGAUAGCUAAUACCGCAUAAUAGUAGAUGUUGCAUGGUAUUUACUUAAAAGGUGCAAUUGCACCACUACCAGAUGGACCUGCGUUGUAUUAGCUAGUUGGUGGGGUAACGGCUCACCAAGGCGACGAUACAUAGCCGACCUGAGAGGGUGAUCGGCCACACUGGGACUGAGACACGGCCCAGACUCCUACGGGAGGCAGCAGUAGGGAAUCUUCGGCAAUGGACGAAAGUCUGACCGAGCAACGCCGCGUGAGUGAAGAAGGUUUUCGGAUCGUAAAGCUCUGUUGUAAGAGAAGAACGAGUGUGAGAGUGGAAAGUUCACACUGUGACGGUAUCUUACCAGAAAGGGACGGCUAACUACGUG